CAGACGGGUGAGUAACACGUGGUCAACCUUCCCUUUAUGGGGGAUAACUAGCCGAAAGGUUAGCUAAUACCGCAUACGUCUCCGAGGGGCAUCCCUUGGCGAUAAAAGGAGCAAUCCGCUCGAUGACGGGACCGCGUCCCAUUAGCUAGAUGGUGGGGUAAUGGCCUACCAUGGCUCCGAUGGGUAGCUGGUUUGAGAGAGCGACCAAACACACUGGGACUGAGAAACGGCCCAG
This 235-nucleotide ribosomal RNA is filed under the name uncultured bacterium. RNAcentral describes it as "partial 16S ribosomal RNA". It matches the Rfam family "Bacterial small subunit ribosomal RNA", at positions 99 to 334 of the family's 1533-position model. The record is from RNAcentral.